This 518-nucleotide ribosomal RNA is filed under the name uncultured bacterium. RNAcentral describes it as "partial 16S ribosomal RNA". It matches the Rfam family "Bacterial small subunit ribosomal RNA", at positions 355 to 864 of the family's 1533-position model. The record is from RNAcentral.
UAGGGAAUCUUCCACAAUGGACGCAAGUCUGAUGGAGCAACGCCGCGUGAGUGAAGAAGGUCUUCGGAUCGUAAAGCUCUGUUGUUGGUGAAGAAGGAUAGAGGCAGUAACUGGUCUUUAUUUGACGGUAAUCAACCAGAAAGUCACGGCUAACUACGUGCCAGCAGCCGCGGUAAUACGUAGGUGGCAAGCGUUGUCCGGAUUUAUUGGGCGUAAAGCGAGCGCAGGCGGAAUGAUAAGUCUGAUGUGAAAGCCCACGGCUCAACCGUGGAACUGCAUCGGAAACUGUCAUUCUUGAGUGCAGAAGAGGAGAGUGGAACUCCAUGUGUAGCGGUGGAAUGCGUAGAUAUAUGGAAGAACACCAGUGGCGAAGGCGGCUCUCUGGUCUGCAACUGACGCUGAGGCUCGAAAGCAUGGGUAGCGAACAGGAUUAGAUACCCUGGUAGUCCAUGCCGUAAACGAUGAGCGCUAGGUGUUGGGGACUUUCCGGUCCUCAGUGCCGCAGCAAACGCAUUAAG